Molecule: transfer RNA, 82 nt
Filed under: Alligator mississippiensis (American alligator)
Lineage: Eukaryota; Metazoa; Chordata; Crocodylia; Alligatoridae
Rfam family: tRNA
About the family: Transfer RNA (tRNA) molecules are approximately 80 nucleotides in length.
Source: Rfam by way of RNAcentral
GUAGUUGUGGCUGAGUGGUAAAGGUGGUGGACUUGAAAUCCUUCGGGGAUUCUCUGCACAGGUUCAAGUUCUGUUUACUAGG